RNAcentral lists this ribosomal RNA (751 nucleotides) under unidentified microorganism. Its description in RNAcentral is "bacterial SSU rRNA". It matches the Rfam family "Bacterial small subunit ribosomal RNA", at positions 51 to 803 of the family's 1533-position model. The record is from RNAcentral.
ACACAUGCAGCCGAGCGGUAUUUGUUCUUCGGAACAGAGAGAGCGGCGUACGGGUGCGUAACACGUGUGCAACCUACCUUUAUCAGGGGAAUAGCCUUUCGAAAGGAAGAUUAAUACUCCAUAAUAUAUUGAAUGGCAUCAUUCGAUAUUGAAAACUCCGGUGGAUAAAGAUGGGCACGCGCAAGAUUAGAUAGUUGGUGAGGUAACGGCUCACCAAGUCAAUGAUCUUUAGGGGUCCUGAGAGGGAGAUCCCCCACACUGGUACUGAGACACGGACCAGACUCCUACGGGAGGCAGCAGUGAGGAAUAUUGGACAAUGGGUGAAAGCCUGAUCCAGCCAUCCCGCGUGAAGGAUGACGGUCCUAUGGAUUGUAAACUUCUUUUGUAUAGGGAUAAACCUAGAUACGUGUAUCUAGCUGAAGGUACUAUACGAAUAAGCACCGGCUAACUCCGUGCCAGCAGCCGCGGUAAUACGGAGGGUGCAAGCGUUAUCCGGAUUUAUUGGGUUUAAAGGGUCCGUAGGCGGGCCGAUAAGUCAGUGGUGAAAUCUCAUAGCUUAACUAUGAAACUGCCAUUGAUACUGUCGGUCUUGAGUAAAUUAGAGGUAGCUGGAAUAAGUAGUGUAGCGGUGAAAUGCAUAGAUAUUACUUAGAACACCAAUUGCGAAGGCAGGUUACCAUGAUUUAACUGACGCUGAGGGACGAAAGCGUGGGGAGCGAACAGGAUUAGAUACCCUGGUAGUCCACGCCGU